AAACCAGCACCUCAAGUGGUCAGGAUGAUUAUUGGGCCUAAAGCAUCCGUAGCCGGCUUUGUAAGUUUUCGGUUAAAUCCAUACGCUCAACGUAUGGGCUGCCGGGAAUACUGUAAGGCUAGGGAGUGCGAGAGGUAGACGGUACUCGGGAGGAAGGGGUAAAAUCCUUUGAUCUCUCGAUGACCACCUGUGGCGAAGGCGGUCUACCAGAACACGUCCGACGGUGAGGGAUGAAAGCUGGGGGAGCAAACCGAAUUAGAAACCCGGGUAGUCC
This 274-nucleotide ribosomal RNA is filed under the name uncultured bacterium. RNAcentral's name for it is "partial 16S ribosomal RNA". It matches the Rfam family "Archaeal small subunit ribosomal RNA", at positions 473 to 747 of the family's 1478-position model. The record is from RNAcentral.